RNAcentral lists this ribosomal RNA (721 nucleotides) under Arenibacter troitsensis. RNAcentral's name for it is "bacterial SSU rRNA". It matches the Rfam family "Bacterial small subunit ribosomal RNA", at positions 125 to 849 of the family's 1533-position model. Lineage: Bacteria; Pseudomonadati; Bacteroidota; Flavobacteriia; Flavobacteriales; Flavobacteriaceae. The record is from RNAcentral.
UCUGCCCUGUACUGGGGAAUAGCCCAGAGAAAUUUGGAUUAAUGCCCCAUGGUAUGUGGAAGCGGCAUCGCUUUUACAUUAAAGGCUACGGUACGGGAUGACUAUGCGUCCCAUUAGUUAGUUGGUAAGGUAACGGCUUACCAAGGCAGCGAUGGGUAGGGGCCCUGAGAGGGGGAUCCCCCACACUGGUACUGAGACACGGACCAGACUCCUACGGGAGGCAGCAGUGAGGAAUAUUGGACAAUGGGCGGGAGCCUGAUCCAGCCAUGCCGCGUGCAGGAAGACGGUCCUAUGGAUUGUAAACUGCUUUUGUACGGGAAGAACAAGGGGCACGUGUGCCCCUCUGACGGUACCGUAAGAAUAAGGAUCGGCUAACUCCGUGCCAGCAGCCGCGGUAAUACGGAGGAUCCGAGCGUUAUCCGGAAUCAUUGGGUUUAAAGGGUCCGUAGGCGGGCCAUUAAGUCAGGGGUGAAAGUCUGCGGCUCAACCGUAGAAUUGCCCUUGAUACUGGUGGUCUUGAGUUAUGGUGAAGUAACUAGAAUAUGUAGUGUAGCGGUGAAAUGCAUAGAUAUUACAUAGAAUACCGAUUGCGAAGGCAGGUUACUAACCAUAUACUGACGCUGAUGGACGAAAGCGUGGGGAGCGAACAGGAUUAGAUACCCUGGUAGUCCACGCCGUAAACGAUGGAUACUAGCUGUCCGGAUGCAAAUCUGGGCGGCCA